AGUGAACGCUGGCGGUAGGCCUAACACAUGCAAGUCGAACGGCAGCACAGUAAGAGCUUGCUCUUACGGGUGGCGAGUGGCGGACGGGUGAGGAAUACAUCGGAAUCUACUUUUUCGUGGGGGAUAACGGAGGGAAACUUACGCUAAUACCGCAUACGACCUACGGGUGAAAGCAGUGGAUCUUCGGACCUUUCGCGAUUGAAUGAGCCGAUGUCGGAUUAGCUAGUUGGCGGGGUAAAGGCCCACCAAGGCGACGAUCCGUAGCUGGUCUGAGAGGAUGAUCAGCCACACUGGAACUGAGACACGGUCCAGACUCCUACGGGAGGCAGCAGUGGGGAAUAUUGGACAAUGGGCGCAAGCCUGAUCCAGCCAUACCGCGUGGGUGAAGAAGGCCUUCGGGUUGUAAAGCCCUUUUGUUGGGAAAGAAAAGCAGCAGGUUAAUACCCCGCUGUUCUGACGGUACCCAAAGAAUAAGCACCGGCUAACUUCGUG
Molecule: ribosomal RNA, 492 nt
Filed under: uncultured bacterium
Lineage: Bacteria
Description: partial 16S ribosomal RNA
Rfam family: Bacterial small subunit ribosomal RNA
Source: RNAcentral